Molecule: ribosomal RNA, 478 nt
Filed under: uncultured bacterium
Lineage: Bacteria
Description: partial 16S ribosomal RNA
Rfam family: Bacterial small subunit ribosomal RNA
Source: RNAcentral
GACGAACGCUGGCGGCGUGCUUAACACAUGCAAGUCGAACGGUAAGGCCCUUCGGGGUACACGAGUGGCGAACGGGUGAGUAACACGUGGGUGAUCUGCCCUGCACUUCGGGAUAAGCCUGGGAAACUGGGUCUAAUACCGGAUAGGACUCCUGGCUUCAUGGUUGGGGGUGGAAAGCUUUUGCGGUGUGGGAUGGGCCCGCGGCCUAUCAGCUUGUUGGUGGGGUAAUGGCCUACCAAGGCGACGACGGGUAGCCGGCCUGGGAGGGUGACCGGUCACACUGGGACUGAGAUACGGCCCAGACUCCUACGGGAGGCAGCAGUGGGGAAUAUUGCACAAUGGGCGCAAGCCUGCUGCAGCGACGCCGCGUGAGGGAUGACGGCCUUCGGGUUGUAAACCUCUUUCAGCUAUGACGAAGCGCAAGUGACGGUAGUAGCAGAAGAAGGACCGGCCAACUACGUGCCAGCCGCCGCGGUAA